Molecule: long non-coding RNA, 4190 nt
Organism: Lepus europaeus (European hare)
Lineage: Eukaryota; Metazoa; Chordata; Mammalia; Lagomorpha; Leporidae
Exons: 4
Source: RefSeq, a predicted model, not a curated record
UGGGGAAGGUUGACACGUGGUGUUCCCAAGCUCUAGGGCCCAAGCUCUAGGGACUUGAAGUGCAGAGGACAAGACAAUACCAGGUAGUUUAUAGCAGGGCUCCAUGUGCUUUGCAUGCUGAAGGUCUCAGGUGCACCCAAGCUGUUUGGAGCUUGGAGGGCCUUGAAAAGAAGUGGAACCACCCAGCUAAGCUAAGAAGUGUUAGCUCUUCUGCUAGGAGAGCUGACCGCGCCCAAACAGAUGGAGACCAAAAACAAAGGGAGAAGACUGAAGAUGAACCUACCCUUUAAAAGUCCUUGUCUGCUGAAAGUGGCAUUUCCUGCGACUCUGCUUCGCUUCUUCGUACAUGGCUGUUGCAGCAGGCAUGGUUCCUGGAGGUUCCUUCUAGUACCACCCAGACAAUUCAGUAUCACCAGGAAACUCUGGAGACACAGUGCUGAGUGAAGACCAGUAGCAAUGGGAAGACAUCGUCCUGUGGAAAUUAACUUCUUGAUCAGAGAAGAUGCCAGAUGAUGGUGGGUGGCUUCCAUCUCACUCUAAUCUCAAAGGAGAGCCAAAAAGCAAAAUCCUAAGAGUGGAGCAAGUUGCCUCUUGUUGAGCAAAUUCCUGGGCAGCCAAAGUUUCUUUUUUUUCUUUUUUUUUCAAACUGGUUGGGCGGGAGCCGAGCGCCUGGAGGCAAGGCCUGUUGGCUGUUUUGCGACAGUACUGCCAUCAUGAGGAAAUAGUUUCAUAAAGCCCCAAGCUUUGAGCAUUUUCUCCAUGCCAGGACUAGCACGGAGGAAGGGUUGGCCCUGUGGGAGGUUGAACUGGUGCUAAACACAAGCUUGGCCCAACUGCCUUUUUUUUUCUUGAGGUCUUGCAGGAACCACGGACAAAGGCAGAUUCUUGGUGUAGUAACUGGUGAAUGAGAGACCUGGGCUGAGGCAGGGCUGCCAGGAAGUCCAUGCACAGGAAGUAGAGGGGAGGAGCCUCCAUUUUCUGGCUAUGUGGGCAAGACUAGAGAAACCACCCACAGAGAAGUGCAGACUCUGGGGACAUUUAUCUUGCGAAUGUGCCUUUUGGAGUUUUAGGCAGCCUGAUUGUCUCUGUGUUGUGGGGCCAGGCCUUUUAGAGCAAAAGUAUCAGAUAGCAAUGAACAGGUCAGUUUCGGGUACCAUUUAUCUAGAGCAUAUUGUUAUUUAUGUGGUCUUAAAUACCCCAAAAGUCCAGGACAUCAUUGCUUAGAGAGAGAAGGAUCUGUGUUGAAGGAGCAGGGAUAUACUGACAUGCCAAUAUGGGCCAGAACAUCUACUAGGAGAGCAGACUUUUGUUCAAGUAGAUGAAAACCAACGCAAUGGCAGGUCUGAGAAAUUCCUUGAGCGCACAAGCUAAGAACUUCUGUUGUUUUGCAGGUACAAGGUAAAGUCUUUUGUCCUGACAAGACCCUGAUGUCAUCCCAGUUCUCUCAAGGAGGGCAGAUAGAUAGCUUACUGCUGUUGGCAUACACCCUAAGAGGGAUGGUAUUAUUGAGUUUUAAGGAAAAAAAACACUAUUUCCCUCAUACUAGGUAGUAUUUUUCUCUUGGUCAGCUUCAUAGCUAGUUCCUAAUGAAGAUUCCUCAAUUUACCAGAUAUCCACCCUUGCUGACUAUCUUUAAUAAAGGCCAUGUGCCUGGGCAGUAGAUGGAAGCCUGGCAAGGCAAUCAAAUGUAGUUGAGUGAUAGUGGGCCAAGGAAGCUGAUGAAUGUUUCCUUUACAAGGGUGGAUACCAGGGAGGGGCAAUGAGUUCAUCAUUUGGAGUUUGGUUGGAUCCAUGUCAGCCCUCACAAAGUCUGAAUUCCAUUCUCUGUGUCCUCAUCAACAGAUAUUCCUUGCCUUUGAUUUAGGGAGAAAAGCAAACUGGUGAACCUUGAAGACCAAAUCAUACAGGUUUGCUCACACCUGAGGCCACCACCCUUGGCAGUUUGAUGGGUGCGGCAUUUGAAUGUUGUGGAGGACACAUGAUUGUUCAGGAGAGCCGACACCAUUGAAGUAAGUAGAUAAAGGCUUGUAAGUACUCUGCCCUUGUGGCUCAAUGAGGUGUUCAACACACACACACACACGCACAGAAUUCCAGUAAUGCUUUCUUCAUUUUCUUCUUGGUCACACUCUAGGUGGAACUUGGCGCCCUGAAUGUUUCAUACAGUAUUAAGACAUGGGAAAUUUCCAAUACUGUACACUGUUUUUGUGUUAGUAUUUUGUUGAUAAAUCUCAGAACAUUUCUUUAUGGUCAAAAAAUAACAUCAAAUCAAUAGUGCUUGAAAUCUAAAUAUAAUAUAAGCACCUGGCAAAGAAGUGAAAAAUUGAACAAUUAUAAAGAAGUAAAUGAUUUUCUGUAACAGAAACUUAAUAAAAACUCAGUCCUUUUAUCAAUUGCAUUUUACUCAUUUAAAUGUCACAACUUUCUCUGUUUUUAUCAAAGAAGCAAAAAGUCAAGCAGUCGUUCUUUCUUCACCCAGACUUCACUGGAUGUAUUUUAUGGACACAAUUGAGAGUUCCGUAAAGUUAUCUUUCAGGUUUUCAGACACAUUCCAGGGAGAGGAGCAAACAUCAGCCGCCUUGAACUGGUUCAGGCCCUACUGUAAGAGCAGUGCCUGCACAGAUGAUCAAAAAGUACCCAAAGGUCAGAUUUGCUGCAUUUUGUUCCUAACAUCUCAUUACUGUAACACACAUCCAGUGUUGAUAACAUGUUCCCGAACUGCGCAUGAGUGUCGUGACACCCCUGCCCUACAUGGGAUGACAAGAAUGCCCCCUCUUAAAUAUUCAUUUUCCACUUAAAUUAACAAUACCCUUUCCCCUACUUGGGGAGGUCUGGCUUUGAAAAUGAUUCCCUAUGACAUUGCUAUUUGCUGCAAAUAAAGUACUUUGCAUAGCAACUUCUGCUUCUUAGAACUGUUCACAAAGUAGGCCCAUGGAUUGGGGUGGGUACUAGAAGUUUUAACACUUCUUGCUUUGGUUGGGUGGUUCCACUUGUCUGUGGGCCCUCUUAGUCUCACACAGUUGGGAACACCUGAGGCCCUCAGCGAGCACACCUGCCCCUAUUACAUGCCCCCUGGAACUGGCUUGUGUUUGUGUUCUGACCCCAUGACAAGAGACCUGUGCCUCAUAGCACCAGCGGGAAGCCUGCUUCUGCUCUGAUCCAAAGGGCAGGAACAGAAGGUGAAGGCCCACUAGGGCCUGCAUUUAUCUUGGUGUGUGGGUCCCUUUGGUCCUGCUUGCACUUGGAGCAACCCAGGCCAGACUCCAGGGCUCCCUGAGGCCACGCCCCCCGAUUUUCCCUGCCAGUGCCUGCAGCCACUUGCUGGUUCAUUUCAGGCCCCUCACUCACCAAGUCUAACACCCAGGUACUGCCAAGGUUCAGGUCCCUGUUAAGGACAUGGAGGAAGAGGCAAAGAGGCCUAGUUUGGAGCACCAGCUUCCGGCCAGUUCUCCCCCAACCGCUAGGCUUCAUGGGAAGGACUCAGUAACGCUGCAGGGUAUUUUGAAACUAUUUCCGCACGAUGGCAGUAGAGCUCCAGAUAUGUUUACACCCUGGUCCUGUCGUCCUCUUCUCCCGCCCGUCCUGUCUGAAAAAACGCCACCGAGACACAAAAAAAGGCAGGCAGCCCUCCAUUUUGUACAGCUUGGUGAAACCUGCUCAGGCUACUGUGCUUUUGCUUCAGUUUUCCACCUGAAAUGUUUUAAACCCCACAUUCUCAUCGAGACGCUUGUUUCCUCACAAAUUAAAUUUCCACUUUUAAAAAAAAAAAAGAUUUAUUUUUAUUCUCAAAGUCCAAGUUACAAAGAGGGGAAAAGACAGAGAUAGAGAUCUUCCAUCCACUGGUUAACUCCCUAGAUGGCCACAAGGGCCUAGGCUGAGCUAGGCUGAGCCAGGAGCCAGGAGCUUCAUCUGGGUCUCCCACGUGGGUGCAGGGGUCCAAACACUUGGGCCAUCUUCCACUGCUUUACCCAGGCCAUUAGCAGGGAGCUGGAUUGGAAGUAGGGCAGCCAGGACAGGAACCUGUGGCAGUAUGGGGUACCAGCUUCACAUGCUAUGCCACAAUACUGGCUCCUAACUUUCCACUUUUCAGCUCAUAUAGUUGUGCUUUCUAUCUGGGUAUUAUGUGUAGUUCUGUUUGGUAGUCUAUGUCCAGAAUUUUCUGUGCAGUAUAUCCCUGUAUACCAAGUAAUGCU